CCUACGGGUGGCAGCAGUGGGGAAUAUUGGACAAUGGGCGAAAGCCUGAUCCAGCCAUGCCGCGUGUGUGAAGAGGGCCUUCGGGUUGUAAAGCACUUUCAGUGGGGAAGAAAGCCUUGGGGCUAAUACCCUCGAGGAAGGACAUCACCCACAGAAGAAGCACCGGCUAACUCCGUGCCAGCAGCCGCGGUAAUACGGAGGGUGCGAGCGUUAAUCGGAAUUACUGGGCGUAAAGCGCGCGUAGGCGGUCUGAUAAGCCGGUUGUGAAAGCCCCGGGCUCAACCUGGGAACGGCAUCCGGAACUGUCAGGCUAGAGUGCAGGAGAGGAAGGUAGAAUUCCCGGUGUAGCGGUGAAAUGCGUAGAGAUCGGGAGGAAUACCAGUGGCGAGGGCGGCCUUCUGGACUGACACUGACGCUGAGGUGCGAAGGCGUGGGUAGCAAACAGGAUUAGAUACCCUUGUAGUC
This 465-nucleotide ribosomal RNA is filed under the name Vreelandella stevensii. RNAcentral's name for it is "partial 16S ribosomal RNA". It matches the Rfam family "Bacterial small subunit ribosomal RNA", at positions 338 to 795 of the family's 1533-position model. The record is from RNAcentral. Lineage: Bacteria; Pseudomonadati; Pseudomonadota; Gammaproteobacteria; Oceanospirillales; Halomonadaceae.